AAAGAUCGCUUUCCGAGAUCUUCUUCAACCCAUGGCCAUGGAGAGCCAACUCCUAGCAUCUGUCUCCAGCAAAUUUCACCUGCAAGAUCUCCCUCGCAUGAACAUAAUAUUGCAGAAGAAUUAGGAAAGACUCGACUAUACAGUAACUUACUUGGUGCCGAAGAUCUGAAUCACAUGGAGGAUCGAGCAUGAGGCAUGAAGCGUGCUAAGGCAGAAUGGAGCAUCUCCAUGUGACCUUAAACCAACCAAAUUUACUCUCAAAAUUCCGCUGAGACAAGAAAGAAAGAGGAGAAGAAACCCUGAAUAAACCCAAAGAAAGAAGCCCAAAACAUUAUAAAAGAAGAAACAGUCAUGGUGCCAACAAGACGCAAUGGAUCUCUCUCAGGCAACACAAUUAAACGAAAAAAAGCAGCGUACAAGAUUAUAGUUGCGAGAUGAUUGUGGUUAUUAAUGUUGCUGAUACCACACUGUAGAACAGUAACGACUUUGCCUUGACAUGGAGCAGUUUGAGCUUACCUUCAAGUGGGCCAGCUUAUGCCGAGUUCCGCUCUUGAACUUUUAGCCUCAGUUUCCUUCACCAGAGCAAGCGUGAAACCGGCAUUGAUGGCUCAAGUAUUUUACUGGGUAUAUUAGAAAUAGUUUUGCACCUGCAAAAUCGUCCAUUUGAUGCUGAAAAUCCCGAGGAGGUACAGAAAAAAUGCAGAUUUGAUCUCUUCCAGUCCAUGAACAACGAAUUGGCGUCAUCUCAUUCAAGGAAAAUUCAGACAUGAGUUUGUUGUUGUUGGAGUCUAUUAACCGUCUACCUGCACUGGAAACCCAACAGUAUGCACAGGUUGAUAUUCUAGUAAAAAAUGGUGCAAUACAAUGAAAGGAAAAAAGUAAUUGAUCGUAACUUUGAAAAAAACAAGGCACUGUCUCAACUGGAAAAGUUUCCUGCUUUUAAGAGGAGACAAGUUCACUCUAAGAGGUUGGUCAAGUCAGCAGCGGGGGAAAGGUGAGGGGGGGGAUGGGGCGCUAGAUUUAGGAAGUGCCUAAUUCAACCGUGCCUCAGAUUUUUCAAUCCAGAGACCUCUAAGCUAAUUAUACCCUUCACUGAUCCUUAAGCAAAACAAAAUGCUUGAGGCUACCAACACCAACUUGUGCCAUAUUCACCAAUAUGUCAAUGCUUGACCUGGCAGUCCAAAUUAAAUUGAUGAAGGCAGAUAAUUCAAAGUCGCAACAGCUCAGGGUCCAGGUGACAAUCCAAUUAAAGUACAAUAAUCAAAGCAAGGAGUCACCAAAGGCAGAGGAAACUGAAAAGAACUGGAAAAACAAAAUAAUGCUAACUCACCCAUACCAUUAUUUACAGUCAGUCUUCUCUCCUCCUGCUGCUUCGAUUGAAUUGUCCAGUGAUUCUCUCCUUCAGCUCCAACUUCUAUUUCCUUUAAAGAAUGCAAUAAAUUGCAUCUUCAAAGCCAAAG
RNAcentral lists this long non-coding RNA (1460 nucleotides) under Eucalyptus grandis. RNAcentral describes it as "long non-coding RNA (EGRA_LNC001797)". The record is from RNAcentral. Lineage: Eukaryota; Viridiplantae; Streptophyta; Magnoliopsida; Myrtales; Myrtaceae.